Molecule: long non-coding RNA, 1401 nt
Filed under: Hordeum vulgare
Lineage: Eukaryota; Viridiplantae; Streptophyta; Magnoliopsida; Poales; Poaceae
Description: long non-coding RNA (HVUL_LNC007555)
Source: RNAcentral
UUUGUUUAUUCUAUCUAAACUUUGAUUUAUCUUUUUGGGAACUGAUUUUAGUUGACGUGCAGAUGGAUUUAUUUAAGAUUACAUCCGGGCCUCACUUUACGUAGGACGCCAUCGAUCCCUACAUUCAACCACCCAAUAGCGGUGCUCCUUGCAUCCAGAUGUGUGAAACGGACGACCUAACAUGGAAGUAAGUCGCUAUCACUGAUAGGCUGCCCGAUCGAUGGCACCGGCCCCUGGGCUUGCUGUCUAACCAUGCCCCAUGGUUGCAUGAUGACUUAUCCAAGUUGGCCACAUCCCGCAUCCGACAUGUCGCCACUGUCUCUCCUUCGUUUUUUCUUUAUAAUAUGUAGAUGGUGAAUCAUCAUUUGUGCCGCCAUUAUUUUUUUACAGUUGUUUUGUUCGUACCUUUGAAACCGACGAAGUCCAGAAUGGAACAAAUACAACAAGGAAGAUAUUUUGCUAGAGACGAAACAUGUGCACUUCAGUUCUGUUGAGAGAGAUGUAAGACGGCUACACAUUUGUUUGGGGUAACUUUCUUUUGUUAACAUGAAUUUAGUUAAUUGUUAGUAGAUAUGUUCAUAGGCUUUGAGGCCACAACUAACAGACUGAAGUCCUUGCUGAAUUAUGGAUCUUAUGGGAAGUAGCGAGAGUGUGAGACUAUGAUUUCGCCGUGGAGGCGUCACCUAACAAAUCUGCAUCCCAGGUAUAGUUUCUGAUCCUGAUGUCUUAAAAUACAUUUCUAUAGUUCUUAAUACAGUAAUACUUAACGACAUUUGUAUGGAAUGAAUGUUGUUGUGACUAAAUUCCGUGUGCAAGACCUAUCAGUUAGCAUGCUAGAAUAAAAGCUCUGAAUGAUCUAACUUCUGCAACUACCAAAUGUUGUUUCUGCACAUAGGUCAUGGAUUUCCCCUAUUGAUAUUGUACAUGCAAUUGGCUUCAAAUAUUUCAGUAAAAUCUCAUGAUGACAUCAAUAUAUAGACUUGUGCGAUAUGUGUGCAUCAAUUAUUUUGACCCAAGACAUUAUUCCAGAAAGCACAAGAUAUUACUUUAUCCAGUCUAUCCAGUCUAUUCCAGAAAGCACAAGGGCUUGUUGAUCUUUCUUUUCUAGAGUGUUUUUGUUAUGAACUCUUUCGUGAAUUUGGAGUAUCUUUUUUAUUUCUAGAACUUCUUACUGACUCUUUUCCAUUGUAUAGUAGGUUGUGAAGAAUGGGAGAUGCUGAUUUGGAAGAAGAAACAAUCAUCAAACAUGUAUAUAUAUACUGCUACUAUAGUAUUUAUACCUUGCAAGAAAAGAAAGCUGAUAAUUUCGAUGUAAACUAUGACAUUGUGGUUUACAAAUAAAUAAAAUGUUUCAUGUGUAUAUUUUCUGCACUAUGCUAAAUUCAUAUCAGAGACUUUCUA